UAGGGAAUCUUCGGCAAUGGACGGAAGUCUGACCGAGCAACGCCGCGUGAGUGAAGAAGGUUUUCGGAUCGUAAAGCUCUGUUGUUAGAGAAGAACGUUGGUAGGAGUGGAAAAUCUACCAAGUGACGGUAACUAACCAGAAAGGGACGGCUAACUACGUGCAAGCAGCCGAGGUAAUACGUAGGGCCCGAGCGUUGUCCGGAUUUAUUGGGCGUAAAGCGAGCGCAGGCGGUUCUUUAAGUCUGAAGUUAAAGGCAGGGGCUUAACCAUUGUACGCUUUGGAAACUGGAGGAGUUGAGUGCAGAAGGGGAGAGUGGAAAUCCAUAUGUAGCGGGGAAAUGCGUAGAUAAAUGGAGGAACACCGGUGGCGAAAGCGGCUCUCUGGUCUGUAACUGACGCUGAGGCUCGAAAGCGUGGGGAGCAAACAGG
This 429-nucleotide ribosomal RNA is filed under the name Bacillota bacterium. RNAcentral's name for it is "Firmicutes bacterium partial 16S ribosomal RNA". It matches the Rfam family "Bacterial small subunit ribosomal RNA", at positions 355 to 776 of the family's 1533-position model. The record is from RNAcentral. Lineage: Bacteria; Bacillati; Bacillota.